UGAGAGAAGGGAUGACACAGUAGGAUAAGCUAAGCACACUGUUGGUUAUGUGUGCCCAAGCAUUGAGGCGGUCAAAGUAGGCAAAUCCGCUUUGAUAAUGCUGGGAUGUGAUGGGGAGCGAAAUUUAGUAGCGAAGUAGCUGAUUUCACACUGUCAAGAAAAGUCUCUAUCGAGGUUAAAGGUACCCGUACCGCAACCCGACACAGGUGGGUGAGGAGAGUAUCCUAAGGCCAGCGAGAGAACUGUUGUUAAGGAACUCGGCAAAAUGACCCCGUAACUUAGGGAUAAGG
Molecule: ribosomal RNA, 290 nt
Filed under: Clostridioides difficile
Lineage: Bacteria; Bacillati; Bacillota; Clostridia; Peptostreptococcales; Peptostreptococcaceae
Description: partial 23S ribosomal RNA
Rfam family: Bacterial large subunit ribosomal RNA
Source: RNAcentral